Molecule: ribosomal RNA, 672 nt
Filed under: uncultured Eubacteriales bacterium
Lineage: Bacteria; Bacillati; Bacillota; Clostridia; Eubacteriales
Description: bacterial SSU rRNA
Rfam family: Bacterial small subunit ribosomal RNA
Source: RNAcentral
GACGAACGCUGGCGGCGCGCCUACACAUGCAAGUCGAACGGAGUUAUGGCCAACACCGGGUUUUCGAGCGAAGGCUUGAAGAUCGGGUGUUGGACAUAAUUCAGUGGCGGACGGGUGAGUAACGCGUGAGUAACCUGCCCUUCAGAGGGGGAUAACGUCGGGAAACUGACGCUAAUACCGCAUGAUAUGUCGGGGUGACAUCACACUGACAUCAAAGGAGAGAUCCGCUGAAGGAUGGACUCGCGUCCGAUUAGGUAGUUGGCGGGGUAACGGCCCACCAAGCCCGCGAUCGGUAGCCGGACUGAGAGGUUGGCCGGCCACAUUGGGACUGAGACACGGCCCAGACUCCUACGGGAGGCAGCAGUGGGGGAUAUUGCACAAUGGAGGAAACUCUGAUGCAGCGACGCCGCGUGAGGGAAGAAGGUCUUCGGAUUGUAAACCUCUGUCUUCAGGGACGAAAUGGUGAGUAAUCACCUCUGACGGUACCUGAGGAGGAAGCCACGGCUAACUACGUGCCAGCAGCCGCGGUAAUACGUAGGUGGCGAGCGUUGUCCGGAAUUACUGGGUGUAAAGGGUGCGCAGGCGGGGUGACAAGUUGGAUGUGAAAUUCCGGGGCUCAACUUCGGAGUUGCAUUCAAAACUGUUGCUCUUGAGUGAGGUAGAGGCAGGCGG